This 1055-nucleotide long non-coding RNA is filed under the name Oryctolagus cuniculus (rabbit). Its description in RNAcentral is "lncRNA (ENSOCUG00000037682.1)". The record is from RNAcentral. Lineage: Eukaryota; Metazoa; Chordata; Mammalia; Lagomorpha; Leporidae.
AGCUGUUGGCUGCCCUGCUGGGCAGUGAAAGCCUGCAGCGUCCCCAGGGCCCCAGGCAAGAGGCAGCACAAGUCCGGUUUGUGCCCCAGCACUGUCCACACCUCAGCCAGGACAGAGGGUGAGGCGCCAGGUAGCCAGGCACCGGCAGGUGCAGCGCUGAGAAUCCCCUGGGGACCUGCGCUGGGCAGCCCUGGCCUGGGGGUGCACCCUGCCCCCCCCCAACACACACACCGCAGCAGAAACCUCCCUGGCUGCCUCUCCAUCACCUGCUGGCCGCCCCGCCCCCCCUUGUCCCCCCGGCAGCCAGCCUGCUCCUAUCUGCAGGUGGGCCAUGCAGAUGGGGGCCUGGGCUGGGAGGUGCUCGGUCUCACUGCCCAAGGUCAGCCAGCCAGCUCCGGGCCCCACGGCCUGGCCCCGCCUCCACCGCCCACCCUGGGGAGGCUGCAGGGGGGGCACAGGUGGCUUUGCUGGGGGUCUCGCCCUGCGUCCUUCACCAAAGUGCCGGUUCCAGGCAGGGCCAUGGGGCUCGGGGUGUGGACCCUACCUGUGUCACUCCACACAGAGUGGGGGGAGCCUGGGGCUGGUGGGGACGGCACCGUCCCUGGACUGUGGGGCAAGGGGCAGGGCCCGGACAGGGGCCCAGGCCUUACUUCUGCCCCCACUUGUCCCAGCGUCUCCCAGCGCCCGUGGCUGUCUGGGGCUCUGUCACCAGCGAGCGGGGGCCCCCACCCUGGAGACCCUGGCUUUGCGGGGGUCGUAGGACCAACCACAGCGCAUGCGCUCAGUCACCAGCAUCAGCCAGCACCCAGCACGGGUCCCGGCUGUUGAGGGCUCGGGGUGCGGGGGUGACCUGGGGCCACAGGCUCCUGCUGGAGCUGCAGGUGGAACCGACCCAGGAAGCAGGGACCCCAGGCCUUGUUUCAGCCCGUGAUGGACCCCAGCCCACGGACUGUGCAUGUGCACGUGUGUGUGUGCAUGUACAGCUGCGUGUGCAUGUGUGGGUUGUGCAAGAACACGUGUGUGUACAACUGUGUGUGUGCACGUGUGGAUGCAGG